AUUGAACGCUGGCGGCAUGCUUUACACAUGCAAGUCGAACGGCAGCGCGGGCUUCGGCCUGGCGGCGAGUGGCGAACGGGUGAGUAAUGCAUCGGAACGUGCCCAGUAGUGGGGGAUAGCCCGGCGAAAGCCGGAUUAAUACCGCAUACGACCUGAGGGUGAAAGCGGGGGACCGAAAGGCCUCGCGCUAUUGGAGCGGCCGAUGUCGGAUUAGCUAGUUGGUGGGGUAAAGGCUUACCAAGGCGACGAUCCGUAGCUGGUCUGAGAGGACGACCAGCCACACUGGGACUGAGACACGGCCCAGACUCCUACGGGAGGCAGCAGUGGGGAAUUUUGGACAAUGGGGGCAACCCUGAUCCAGCCAUGCCGCGUGCGGGAAGAAGGCCUUCGGGUUGUAAACCGCUUUUGUUCGGAAAGAAAUCCUCUGGGCUAAUACCCCGGGGGGAUGACGGUACCGGAAGAAUAAGCACCGGCUAACUACGUG
This 484-nucleotide ribosomal RNA is filed under the name uncultured bacterium. RNAcentral's name for it is "partial 16S ribosomal RNA". It matches the Rfam family "Bacterial small subunit ribosomal RNA", at positions 29 to 507 of the family's 1533-position model. The record is from RNAcentral.